AAUGAACGCUGGCGGCAUGCCUAACACAUGCAAGUCGAACGGUAACAGGCCCGCAAGGGUGCUGACGAGUGGCGGACGGGUGAGGAAUACAUCGGAAUUUUGCCCAGUCGUGGGGGAUAACGUAGGGAAACUUACGCUAAUACCGCAUACGACCUAACGGUGAAAGCGGGGACUCGCAAGAGCCUCGCGCGGAUGGAUAAGCCGAUGUCGGAUUAGCUAGUUGGCGGGGUAAGAGCCCACCAAGGCGACGAUCCGUAGCUGGUCUGAGAGGAUGAUCAGCCACACUGGGACUGAGACACGGCCCAGACUCCUACGGGAGGCGAGCAGUGGGGAAUAUUGGACAAUGGGGCAACCCUGAUCCAGCAAUGCCGCGUGUGUGAAGAAGGCCU
RNAcentral lists this ribosomal RNA (389 nucleotides) under uncultured bacterium. Its description in RNAcentral is "bacterial SSU rRNA". It matches the Rfam family "Bacterial small subunit ribosomal RNA", at positions 29 to 417 of the family's 1533-position model. The record is from RNAcentral.